GAUGAACGCUGGCGGCGUGCCUAAUACAUGCAAGUCGAGCGAACAGACGAGGAGCUUGCUCCUCUGACGUUAGCGGCGGACGGGGGAGUAACACGUGGAUAACCUACCUAUAAGACUGGGAUAACUUCGGGAAACCGGAGCUAAUACCGGAUAAUAUAUUGAACAGCAUGGUCCAAUAGUGAAAGACGGUUUUGCUUUCACUUAUAGAUGGAUCCGCGCCGCAUAAGCUAGUUGGUAAGGUAACGGCUUACCAAGGCGACGAUGCGUAGCCGACCUGAGAGGGUGAUCGGCCACACUAGAACUGAGACACGGUCCAGACUCCUACGGGAGGCAGCAGUAGGGAAUCUUCCGCAAUGGGCGAAAGCCUGACGGAGCAACGCCGCGUGAGUGAUGAAGGUCUUCGGAUCGUAAAACUCUGUUAUUAGGGAAGAACAAAUGUGUAAGUAACUAUGCACGUCUUGACGGUACCUAAGCAGAAAGCCACGGCUAACUACGUG
RNAcentral lists this ribosomal RNA (497 nucleotides) under uncultured bacterium. RNAcentral's name for it is "partial 16S ribosomal RNA". It matches the Rfam family "Bacterial small subunit ribosomal RNA", at positions 28 to 507 of the family's 1533-position model. The record is from RNAcentral.